AUCCCCUGGAUUCAGGGAUGUGGAUAUCCCCUGGAUUCAGGGAUGUGGAUAUCCCCUGGAUUCAGAGAUGGGGAUGUCCCAGCUCCAGGAGGCCGGCAGGGAAGCGUUCUCCAGUGAGCAAAGCAUGUUGAGAUGGAGAAAUCCUUUGUAAUUCAGUUUCUCCAGCUUCAGGACAUCCUCAGGAAUUGGGCAGUGGAGAAAGUAUUUCCACUAUUAAUCCCAUUGUUUUGCAGAAAACAUGUCCAAGCACAUUCGAGGACACACCUCCUCUGCCAUGAGGUGCCUGCACAGCCCAGGGCUGUUUUUUGGGAUCCACCAUCUCCAGAGAGCCCAGGGCUGUUUUUUGGGAUCCACCAUCUCCAGAGAGCCCAGGGCUGUUUUUUGGGAUCCACCAUCUCCAGAGAGCCCAGGGCUGUUUUUUUUGGGAUCCACCAUCUCCAGAGAGCCCAGGGCUGUUUUUUUGGGAUCCACCAUCUCCAGAGAGCCCAGGGCUGUUUUUUGGGAUACACCAUCUCCAGAGCAGAGCCUGCAGUGGGUGCUGCAGAGGACUGGCCACAAUCCUCAGCAUUUUUGCCCUCAGAAAGCAGAUAAAAAUUCACUUAAAGAUAACCUUAAAUGCUGUAUGGACAUCCAGUUAUCUUACAGCCAACACUCAGUUCCCAGCACAAACCAUUCCUCACAGGGCUGAGAACAUCUUAGAGAUGUUUCCCUUACAUGGGGAAGGAAAUGCUGGGGGCAGAUGAAAUCAGCAGUGAGACACAGCCAGGGGCAGGGCAGGGUUUAGUGUCCUGCUGGCUUUUGUGGCAAUCCAGUAAAAAAUGCCCUCAUCAGGUGUUCUCCAACACCAAUUUUCCUCUGUCACUUGCUGAGGGAGCCUUAGGAACCUGGGCUCAGUGGCUCACCUGUGUUCAGGUGGAGCAAUUUCCUGGCAGGGAGGAUGAAGAGGAUUCCUUAUGUAGUAUCAGAAAAAGGUUUAAUCUAAACAUGACAGAAAAAUCCCUGAGUUCCAGCACAGUGAGACAUGAGAAGAGACUGAUUGUGGAAUUUUCAGAGCUGUGUCUAAGCCCUGUCAAAGAGGGCUGGGGGGGAUGAAGCUGUUCUGUGGAAAGAGUGGAUCAUUUCUCCCUGUCCUGCCAUGCCGAGCUUCCACAGCUGAAAAGAAACCCACUGACCCUGGCCUGAUGGGUGAGUAGGUUUUUUCCACAACUGAUUGGCAUUGCUUUUCCUGGUGGUGCUGUGACAGCCUUUGGGAUCAGAUGGAUUUCUGCCCUACCUGCUGCUGUCAAGGCACUUGACGAAGCUUUACCAGUCAGAGCAAGGCUGGGGAGGAUUUGCAGAACAUGGAGUGUCAUCUGCAGAGCCCCCCACCUCCUCCCAACACUGCUCCUGCAUGACUGCCCGGAUGGAUUUGAACUGCAGCAAUUUAGAUUUUAAAAUAUGGCAUCACAUCCACUCCUGAACACACCUCAGGGUGAUUUUACAGACAUGAUGUAACAGAAAAGACAGAGUCACACAGGAAGGCCAGCCCCAGGUGUCAGGGACACGUCACAGCUGGGGUUUUCUGUGCUGCCUGCACGGAAAGCACAAGUUUCAUGAUGACCACGUGUGAACAACAACCACCACACUCCAUCCAUCCCACUGAUGAGGCAGAGGGAUGUGUUCCCACGCCUGCCCUCUCCCAUCACCUCCAGCCCCCGGGACAAAGCCCAGCAGCCACAAGAGCAGAGCUGGGGACGUGACUGGACAGAGCUGGGGCCACAUGUGGCUCCCAUUCCAGGAGUCCUUCCCAGGAAAAGCCCUCCAGGAGCCUUCCUCUGCCACGGUGGCACCACUGAUGAAUCCACGUCCAGGAGUUUCCAGCUGUGGCUGCUCCAUCCCUGGGAGUGCUCAAGGGGCUUGGAGCAACCUGGGAUAGUGGGAACAAGAGGAGCUUUAAGGUCAUUUCCUUCCCAAAGCAUUCCAUGGUUCUGUGAGGGCACAGUGGCGCCAGGGAAAGGUCAGCAGGGAGGAGCCAAGAGCCAAAGGGCCCAGUCUGGUGACCAGCAAUGGUGACCUGUAGGGAAUGCGUGGAGCAGGAGCUGUGAUCCCACCCCAGGUUUGCCCUGGGGUGCCCCCAGAGUGCCCCCCAGGUAAAAAACCCUUUUAUCUGUGCUGUGGGAACUUGGGUGCACAAAGCAAAGUGCUCUGAGCACAUCCCAGCCCCAGGGUGUGCAGACACUUCCUGCCUUUGUUGGGUGUCCAGGUCCUGUCCUGCUCCCACCCUGAGCCCAGCCCUGGAGGGGUCACUGGUGGGGCUGGAGCAGCAUCCCACAGAUCCAUGGGGAUUGCCCAGAUCCAGUGGGAUUUCACUCCCUGGCUUUGUAUUCCCUUGUUCUGCAGGCUUUGCCAGCCUGUCCAUGUCCUUUUGCAGGCCCUGUGUGCUCCAGUGGCCUGAAGCAGGAGAUGAUCCCUGGGCGAGCUCUGCAGACCUCCCUCUGUUAGCAACUACUUCUAUCAGUGCUCCCUCUUCCCCAACCCAAAAUUCCCUUUUCCAAACCCCAUGGGAAGCUCAGUGAGUCCCUCCUUGUCACACCUGAACUGGCUGUGGGAUCUGUGUGACAUUUGCUCAGCCCAUGUGGCACCACUCAAGUCUCACUUUACUGGGAUUUCUCCACAGCUUUUCCUGCCCGUUUCUUCCUCUGGGAUGUGUUUGUGUCCCAAGGGAACAGCCCCAGCUCCACCCUCUCCUUUAGGAAUGAAAACCUUGGAGUUGUGUCAUCUGCAACCCAAAAUCAAAUCCUCCACAAGCCCUGGGAGCCUGAGCAUCCCUGCCCUGCUCCUUUCCCACUGAAACUCCUUUUCUCCAGGCUGGAAUGGACAGGGAAGAGGAAGUGCAGCACUUCUCCCAUAAAAACUUGGUCCCUUCCCACUGCUGGACAUUCCUUUUGCUGCACAGAACUAUGGACACACCCUGGGAAUUGGGAUAUUCCUCCUGUGCUCCCUCCUCGUGCCCAAAGCUCUCCCACCUCCCCAUUCCCCUAGUUUUAACCUCAGGAAAAUGAACUAGAAUUUUAAAAAGGAGGAUGGAGAUGGAGGCAUGGAUGCUCUCAUUGCUCCUAAAUCCAGCUGCAAGAGGAAUAUUUGAA
Long non-coding RNA from Vidua chalybeata, 3125 nucleotides. RefSeq lists it as uncharacterized. Lineage: Eukaryota; Metazoa; Chordata; Aves; Passeriformes; Viduidae. The record is from RefSeq and is a predicted model, not a curated record. The transcript is spliced from 5 exons.